CGGAAAAAGAAGAGUGGCGAACGGGUGAGUAACACGUGGGUAACCUGCCCAUCAGAAGGGGAUAACACUUGGAAACAGGUGCUAAUACCGUAUAACAAUCGAAACCGCAUGGUUUUGAUUUGAAAGGCGCUUUCGGGUGUCGCUGAUGGAUGGACCCGCGGUGCAUUAGCUAGUUGGUGAGGUAACGGCUCACCAAGGCCACGAUGCAUAGCCGACCUGAGAGGGUGAUCGGCCACAUUGGGACUGAGACACGGCCCAAACUCCUACGGGAGGCAGCAGUAGGGAAUCUUCGGCAAUGGACGAAAGUCUGACCGAGCAACGCCGCGUGAGUGAAGAAGGUUUUCGGAUCGUAAGACUCUGUUGUUAGAGAAGAACAAGGAUGAGAGUAACUGUUCAUCCCUUGACGGUAUCUAACCAGAAAGCCACGGCUAACUACGUGCCAGCAGCCGCGGUAAUACGUAGGUGGCAAGCGUUGUCCGGAUUUAUUGGGCGUAAAGCGAGCGCAGGCGGUUUCUUAAGUCUGAUGUGAAAGCCCCCGGCUCAACCGGGGAGGGUCAUUGGAAACUGGGAGACUUGAGUGCAGAAGAGGAGAGUGGAAUUCCAUGUGUAGCGGUGAAAUGCGUAGAUAUAUGGAGGAACACCAGUGGCGAAGGCGGCUCUCUGGUCUGUAACUGACGCUGAGGCUCGAAAGCGUGGGGAGCAAA
RNAcentral lists this ribosomal RNA (704 nucleotides) under uncultured Bacilli bacterium. Its description in RNAcentral is "bacterial SSU rRNA". It matches the Rfam family "Bacterial small subunit ribosomal RNA", at positions 82 to 772 of the family's 1533-position model. Lineage: Bacteria; Bacillati; Bacillota; Bacilli. The record is from RNAcentral.